UAAUAAUGCCAUCAAGGCCUCUUCCAAAUUGCACGCACAUUCCAACUUCAUAUUGUUCUUUGCAGUACUCUCACCACACAAACACUGAUAACUAGCCGGAGGAGGAGAUGGAGGCAGCUAUUGAAACGGCGAGUUGGCUUCUCAGCAAGGCGCUCGCAAAGCUCUCGGACGAGCUGGUGGCCGCGUUCGUUGCCACCAGCUCCGAGCUCGGCCACAACUUCCAGAGCAUGAAGCACUGGCUGUGGCACACGCAAGGGCUGCUACACGCAGCCCGGAUCAGGGACAUGAGCAACAACCCUGGUCCUGGCCUGCAGGGCUUGCUCGCGGAGCUAAGCAAGAAGGCAGAUGAGGCCGAGGACUUGCUGGAUGAAAUCUGCUACUUCAUGAUCCAGGAUCAACUCGACCACACCAGCGAGGCCACCAUCCAGGACCCCGCCCCAAAUAUAGGCGAUCUCGUCCGUGGUCGUGCUCGUGAUGCUCACCAUGCUCUUCGCCACACCAUCGGUAACUGGCUUCCAUACUUUUCAAAUCCGGGUUCUGUCAACAGUAGUAGUAACACGUCCCGCAAAAAACAAAAAACAAAUAGUAGUAGUAACCCACAUCAUGCAACCAACUCUGGUGGCACUGAUGAUGCUUGCCCCAUCGACAGGCUAUCUUUCGACAGAGUAGACAUGUCCAACAGAAUCAAGUCCAUAAUUGAGGAAAUGAACUCUACAUGUGAACAUGUCUCCGACUUACUCAAAAUUGCAAACCAAAGUAGCACUGCAAUAACCACAACCCUCACCCUCAAAAGGCCAACCACGGGUUCAACAGUGGUGCAAGAUAAGUUGUUUGGGAGGGGUGACAUUUUUGAUAAAACUGUAACUGCUCUUACCGGUGGCACAUAUCACACUGAAACCCUCUCUAUUUUGCCUCUUGUUGGCCCUGGGGGUAUAGGAAAGACAACCUUCACCCAACACUUGUACAGUGAUGAAAAGAUCAUGAGGCACUUCACUGUCAAGGUAUGGGUAUGUGUCUCAACUGAUUUUGAUGUGCUUAACCUCACCCGGCAGAUCCUUAGAUGUGUACCUACAACAGAAAAAGAAGGAAACAAAAUUGUAAUCGAGACUGCCAAUUUAGACCAGCUUCAAAUAUCCAUUGCAGAGAGACUGAAGUCCACCAGGUUUUUAAUUGUCUUGGAUGAUAUUUGGAAAUGCAGCAGCGAAGGUGACUGGAAAAACCUAUUAGCUCCAUUCACUAAGGGGGAAACCAAGGGUAGCAUGAUUCUUGUCACAACCCGGUUUCCAUUAGUAGCACAUAUGGUGAAAACAACUGAUCCAAUAGAACUGCAUGGUUUGGAGCCUAAUGACUUCUUCACACUCUUUGAGUUUUCUAUAUUUGGUCAUAGCAAACCCCGGGAUUAUGAAGAUGACUUAAUUGGUGUUGCAAAAGAUAUUGCAAAAAGACUAAAGGGUUCACCACUAGCAGCCAAUACAAUCGGUCGGUUAUUGAGGAAAAACCUUUCUAAAGGAUAUUGGAAGGGAGUUCUUGAAAAAGAUGAGUGGCAACACAUGAAAAAUGAUGAUGAUAUUAUGCCAUCUCUUAAAAUUAGCUAUGAUUACCUUCCUUUCUAUCUAAAAAAAUGCUUUUCAUACCUUGCCCUCUUCCCUGAAGAUUAUAAGUUUUAUGAUAUAGAAAUUACUCGUUUUUGGAUUGCAGUAGGUAUCAUAAACUCUAGUUGCCAAAACGAUAAAAAUUACUUAGAAGAGCUAGUGGAUAAUGGUUUUCUCAUGAAGGGGUUUGAUGGGUUUGGUGAUCAAUGUUAUGUGAUGCAUGAUUUAUUCCAUGAACUGUCUCGGAAUGUUUCAUCACAAGAAUGUGUCAAUAUAAGUAGUUUAUGUUUUAGUGCCGAUAGCAUCCCAAAAUCUAUUCGGCACUUAUCAAUCACCAUAGAAGAUAUAUAUGGUGAAAGUUUUGAAGAAGAAAUGGGUAUACUAAAGAGAAGGGUAGACAUUGGAAAUUUGCGGACUUUGAUGAUUUUUGGGUUACAUAAUGCACGAGUAGAUAAUAUUUUCAAAAGUACAUUUGAAGAAAUAAAGAGUCUGAGAGUUCUGUUUAUAGGAAUGAACACUCCACAAUCUUUGCCAAAUGGAUUUUCCAAUCUUAUCCACCUCCAAUACCUUAAAAUUAGAUCACCUUAUAUAGAAGAAAUGACUUUACCUAGCUCAUUAUCUAGAUUUUACCACUUGAAAUUUUUGGACCUCGUAUAUUGGCAUGGAAGUAAAAAAUUGCCUAAAGACAUUAACCGCCUGGUGAAUCUACAACAUUUCCACUCAUCCAGAGAACUCCAUUCCAAUAUUCCUGAGGUUGGAAAGAUGAAGUGUUUACAGGAGCUAAAAGAAUUCUAUGUAAAGAAAGGGAGUGUUGGGUUUGAAUUGAGAGAGCUGGGGGAAUUGAGAGAGCUUGGAGGAAAACUCCGUAUAUGUAAUCUUGGAAUGAUUGCAUCCAAGGGAGAAGCUAGUGUUGCCAAACUGAAGAACAAAAGAAAUAUGAAAAAGUUGCGAUUAAUCUGGGGUCCACAACACCAGACUAUACAUGAUGAUGUUCUUGAUGGUCUUGAACCACACCCUAAUCUUUUGGUGCUUCAUAUAAUAAAUCCGGGUGUCGCCCCUUGUCCUAGCUGGCUGUGCGGCGAUAUUAGCACAAAAAGGUUAGAGUCUCUCCAUCUGGAGAAUGUAUCUUGGAGUACACUUCCACCUUUUGAGCAGCUACCACACCUCACCAAGCUCACUUUGAAGAAUAUAGCUAGCAUGCAUUCUUUUGGGCCUGGCAAUAAUGGUGUUACAGAGACAAGUUUCAUGCACCUGAAGACAAUUGUGUUUGAGGAUAUGCCAGUACUCGUGGAGUGGGUUGGCGAACCUAAUAGCCAUUUGUAUUCCAGGCUUGAAAGAAUCAAAUGUGCAGGUUGUCCCCUUCUCCGCUCAUUUCCGUUCUUGGAGUACUCAAGUCGGUUUACAAACCUGUGUGAACUUGUUAUUCAUAACUGCCCUGAGCUGUCCCAGUUUCCCUCCAUGCCUCACACCUCCACACUAACAUCUCUGAGUGUGAGGAAUGCUACCUCAAAGUUGUCAUACAAUGGAAAGGAAUUCACUAUCGGAGGGUAUAAUCAUGAUUUGUCCUUUGACAAUAUGGAUAAAGUAGAGGUUAUGGAAAUUAGGGAUGUAUCAGGCAUUUCGUUGUCAGACAUCCAACGCCUAAACUCCUUGAGAAGUCUGAGUGUUGAAAGAUGUGAAAACAUUUUCUCUGCGCAACUGGAUGACAAUGUCGCCCUCCAUUCAGUUCAGAGUCUUGAGCUAGAAGAAUUAAGUAUUACAGGAGAAGAGUUUUCAAAAGCCUUGAGGUCUUUUCCAGCUAUUUCCCAGCUUAGUAUCAACAAGUGCAAGAGCCUGGUUCUUCUGCCCUUGGAGGAUGGAGGAGGACUGUGGGACCUGGUGAUGCUCCAAUCGUUUUCUGCAUCAUACUGUCACAAGUUGUUCUGUCGGUGGCCCAUGGGAGAAGUAGGAGGAGCUCAGACCAUCAAGCCUUUUCCUCCUUCCCUCAGGAAACUGAAGAUUGUCGAAGAAUCAAGCAUAAAGUCAAUGGCCCUACUCUCAAACCUCACUUCUCUCACCUAUCUAGAGCUGGUAGAUUGUGAAGAAUUAACUAUGGAUGGGUUUAAUCCUCACAUCACAACCAACCUCAAGGAUUUGUCUAUCUAUGACAAACAAAGGAUCUCUGUAGGAGCGGAUGUGCUGUCAGAGGUGGCAAGGGAUGGACUGAUGCAUGCUGGUUCAUUCGAACUGGAAAAGCUUGCGGUGAACAGCAUCUCGGCGCUGCUUGGUUCUCCAGUUUGCAGCCACCUUGCCGCUACUCUCCACACAUUACAGUUUCGAUAUGAUCGGUGGGUAGAAACCUUCACGGAAGAGCAGGAGCAAGCCCUUCAGCUCCUCACCUCGCUCCAAGAUCUACAGUUUAGUGCUUGCAGUAGUUUGCAGUCCCUACCACAACAAUUGCGUGGCCUUUCUUCUCUCAGAACAUUAGUGAUCUUUGGGUGUGAAAAAAUCAGAUCGCUGCCGCCCAAGGAGAGCCUCAACGCUUCACUAAGUACAAUAAUCGUGGCAGAUUGCAGUCCCGAGUUAACUGAGAAUGCCAAGAAUUUGAAAAAAUCAGACACAUAUUCAGCAAAAAUAAUUGUGUGCCCAUGAGAUGGGCGUCCUUCCAUUACCAUAUAAGUGACUGCAUGAUGAUCCAAAAAUCAUGACUAAGCAACUGAAAGUAAUGAUAGAGUCUACUCACUGGGCCUAAGAGAGCAUCUAUCAUCGUGGGUUGCUCUACUUUCUCCAUUUUCUGACCUCGAUUAUUUCACUCACCUUCUGCACACAAUUGCAACCGAUGCUCAAUUCAUAUAGUUAGUAGCUUCGCAUCCAGAACAAUUGCAACCAAUGGUGUAUUCUUAAGGAGCAUCACUGACAAGCUACAAUUCCCAAAGGUUUUCCUCUCAAUUUACCAAGCAAAGACCUGAAAAAAUAUCAUGAUAUUGUAUUCUGCGGACGAUAGGUGGCACAAUCUGCGCCAUCUCUUAUUUGUGAAGUAUGUAUGGAACAACUGCACUGACACUUCUGUCAGAAGGUUCACCAUGAAGAAAAUUCAGUUGGGAAGGAGGAACAAUGCGCUUACUGUGGCCUGCUUCUUCCUAUGUGGCAAACCAGGCAUCCCUCCCAUUCCACGCUAAGCUCCAUGAAUAGUCGCAACCAGCGGUGACCUCUGAGCUCGCGGUUGGCAAUUUUGUAUUCAUGACAUGGCUCUUUCAUCAAAACACCUAUCUUAACUUCUUGAAGCAGCAACUCCGAAAAGGUGGCACAAUUUGUUCCUUCUUCACAUAUGCUAAGCAGCUGAUCGAUAAAGCAUGCGCGCUGGGAAUUCAUCCGGUUUGAUAGGAACCGAAACAAGCUCCCAAGGAGGAACAAUCAUCCAAACAUAUACUCCUCUGAAGCUUAAAUUGGUGGUGUCAUGCUGUGGGGAUUGGCAAGCCGUUGUAUGUGUACACAACAAAUCACCGACGCUGACGACGCGCACCAAGCAUGACAUCCCACUCCAUCCAUGACUGUGGUCAGCCUCUUCUGCACGCAGAACCAGGCGUGCUGCGCCUGCGCUACGCGGGGAUUGCGUGUGCUGUCACUUCCUCGAUCGAUGCUAACCUCAUCCUGUGCAUUUGGUGUGCCCGCCCGCUAGACUCAUGCUCUGGUACUCCCCUAUAGUCCCAGUUCAUAGAUUGACCUCGCCAGUGUCAACUCCUGCACGGCAUAUUUCCAUGUCACCGGCGUAAUUUGGGGUCGACACCGAGCUGCUACCAGUUCGGCCUAUCCACGUUGAAGCAAAUGAAGGAAAAUCUAUCCGAACUUGACUCUGCAAAUUCAAAUGGCACCAUAUUCAGUGUCUAAUGAUUCCGGGAUCGUUGCUGCGAAGCGGUACUGCAUCCUGAUGUCCACAGUGUCCUGCACCUCGGGUUUGCACAUCCACUCUGCUUACUCUGUCUCCUAGGCCAAGACAACCUCGCCAUCUUCGACCACGGCACCGCCUGGGCCCACAUCACCGGCGCAACUUGGGGCUGAGACCGAGGGGCUCAUCAUCCACGCCCUGAUGUUCUGCACCAUUAGCACCAUGUGUACAUGGAUACACCUGCAUGCAUCUGUUAGAUGAACUACAUCUCAGACAAGAACAGGGACUACCAUCUUCCUUGUGAAAGAGUACACGUUGAUUUGCCAUGUAGAUGAAUGUAUAGACCUAUGAAACACUAAGACAUAGUUUAGAUUCGUCGCCAAAAGAAGACACGGUUUAGAUUAUCGUGAUGACACUGAGACAUCAGUUAGCAUCUUAGCAUGUCUUGUUUCAACUGCCUGUUGUGCAUAUAUCGAGGCAUAAAUCAAUAUGUAUACUACUCCCUCCGUUCCUAAAUAUUUGUCUUUCUAGACAUUUCAACAAGUGACUACAUACGGAGCAAAAUGACUGAAUUUACACUCUAAAAUAUGUCUACAUACAUCCGCAUGUGGUAGUCAUUUGAAAUGUCUAGAAAGACAAAUAUUUAGGAACGGAGGGAGUAGUAAGUAUGCACGUGCAACAUACGUCUCGACUAAUAUUAUAACCAUAUAUGACAAUUGUAAAAAUAGUACCU
RNAcentral lists this ribosomal RNA (6190 nucleotides) under Triticum aestivum (bread wheat). RNAcentral's name for it is "partial small subunit ribosomal RNA". Lineage: Eukaryota; Viridiplantae; Streptophyta; Magnoliopsida; Poales; Poaceae. The record is from RNAcentral.